CCUAUAAAAUUCAGUUUGCCACCAGAGCUCGUCUGGAGUAGAACUGCUUUCGGAAACUGAAUAGUUGUUCAUCAAAAAUAUCCAAAUUCUCAGUGAAAUGGACGGUGGGCCAUAGCAUCGCAUUAGCCUUGACUUUAAUGUCAAAUGGGCAAAUGGGAGCUAUCAGAGGUAUGGAGUUCCGUACCAGCCCCAAAAUAAUCAGUUUGCCACCAGAGCUCGUCUGGAGUAGAACUCGUUUCGGAAAUUGAAUAGUUAUUCAUCAAAAAUAUCCAAAUUCUCAGUGAAAUGGAUGGGAUUUUAUUGACUCACCUUUAAUUAUGUUUGCACACACUUGCACCUUCGAUAAAUCACACCUGAUGUUCAACCAUGAUGUUCAACCAUGAUGUUCAAACCUGAUGUUCAAACCGGAUUUUCAAACCUGAUGUUCAACCCUGAUGUACCGCAUUUCUUCCGGACUAACAACUAUGACUAUAUACACUUUGAUGAUGUACGUUGAUGUACAAUAUACUAGCACGCUUGCCUGUCCCAAAAAACCAAUUUACCAUUUUGAUGAUAUACCAUACUGGAAGUAGCACGCUUUCUUUACCCAAUUGAGCAUUGUUUUUUAUCGAAGGAUUAUGCAUUAUAAAAACAAUUUUAAUUUGGUCCUGGCUUUCAUGGGAUUUUAUGACAGCCACUACCCGAUCCAUCUAAUUCUGCCUACAAUUUAUUACUAAAACAUAAUGGAGCCGAAUUUUUUUUUUUUUUUUUCGUUUCGCCAAAUUGUUUCACUGAUAAAUGACGAUAUGAACUAGGAUAAUGGUAAAGACACUGAGAGCUGAUGGUACCGGUCCCGCUGGACGUGUAGUUUGCAUCGGUUCUCCCCACUGAAGAUUUUGAUCAAAUGCCAACAUACAAACUGCCAAAUGCCAAUUAUUAUUAUUUAAUUGUUGUACAACGCGUACGAGCCCAAUGAAGCAAUCUCCAUCUAGCAUAAAUAAAAAUACAAAAAAAAUA
Drosophila bipectinata is the source of this 996-nucleotide non-coding RNA. The record is from RefSeq and is a predicted model, not a curated record. Lineage: Eukaryota; Metazoa; Arthropoda; Insecta; Diptera; Drosophilidae.